RNAcentral lists this ribosomal RNA (1569 nucleotides) under Prototheca wickerhamii. RNAcentral describes it as "bacterial SSU rRNA". It matches the Rfam family "Bacterial small subunit ribosomal RNA". Lineage: Eukaryota; Viridiplantae; Chlorophyta; Trebouxiophyceae; Chlorellales; Chlorellaceae. The record is from RNAcentral.
GUUUGAUCCUAGCUCAGAAUGAACGCUAGCCGUAAGCUUAACACAUGCAAGUUGAACGUUUUUUAAUUUAUUUAAAAAAAGUAGCGAACGGGUGAGUAACGCGUGAGAAUCUACCUCUUAAACUGCGGAAUUUAACUGGAAACAUAGAAACAUAAGGUGAAGAAUCGUGGAUAAGUCUAAUUAAUUUUCUUAAUUUUAUUAAUAAAAUUAAUUUUGAUAAACAUAUAUUAUGGUUAAGAGAUGAGCUUGCGUAAGAUUAGGUAGUUGGUAGGGUAAAGGCCUACCAAGCCAAAGAUCUUUAGCUGGUUUGAGAGAAUGAUCAGCCACAUUGGGACUGAGACACGGCCCAAAUACUUUAGAGUAGCAGCAGUGAGGAAUAUUGGACAAUGGACGAAAGUCUGAUCCAGCUAUACGGCAAGAGUGAAGAAAACUGUAUUGGUUGUAAAGCUCUUCGAUGAUAAAAAGAUUAUGACAUGUUAUCAUGAGAAGUCCCGGCUAAUCUCGUGCCAGCAGCCGCGGUAAUACGAGAGGGGCGAGCGUUAUUCGGAAUGAUUGGGCGUAAAGCGUGCGUAGAUUGUUUAAUUUUAAUAUUUAAAUCCAAUCAUUAUUAUAUAAUGAAUAUUAACUAAUUAAAAUGGACUUGAGUUCUUAUUAAGAGAGUAGAAUUCCUGGAGGAGAGGUAGAAUUCAAUGAUCUCAGGAGGAAUACCGAAAGCGAAGGCAGCUCUCUAGUAAAAUACUGACAUUGAGGCACGAAAGCGUGGGGAUCGAAAAGGAUUAGAUACCCUUGUAGUCCACGCUGUCAACGAUGAUCUUUUUCUAUUUCUUUUCGAAAGAAUUGGAGUGGAGUAGCUAACGCGUUAAAAGAUCCGCCUGAGGAGUACGAUCGCAAGAUUAAAACUCAAAGGAAUAGACGGGGACCUACACAAGUGGUGGAACAUGCGGUUUAAUGCGAAACAACGCGCAAAACCUUACCAGCUUUUGAUAUAACACUUAUAGAGGAAAUAUUAUAGUUUCUAUUCUUUGUGUUACAGGCGUUGCAUGGCUGUCGUCGGUUCGUGCCGUGAGGCGUUAGAUUAAUUUCUUAAACGAACGAAACCCCUGUUAUCUAUUGCUAUGGUAUUGUUAUUAUUAAUAAUAUCAGCACUUUGAUAAUACUGCCAGUAAUAAACUGAAGGAAGGAAGGGAUUACGUCAAGUCUUCAUGACCCUUAUGAGCUGGGCUACACGUGUGUUACAAUGGCGAAUACAAAGAGACGCAAUGAUGAAAGUCGGAGCAAAUCUAUAAAAUUCGUCUUAGUUCAGAUUGUUUUCUGCAAUUCGAAAACAUUAAGAAGGAAUCACUAGUAAUCGUGGAUCAGCACGCCACGGUGAAUUAGUACCUAGGUCUUGUACUCACCGCCCGUCACACUCUGGAAAUUGAUUAAGUUGGAAGAGUAUAUCCUUAUUUCUUAUUUAUUUAUCUGAACAAUGUUCAGAGAAUCUUAAUGAUUUUAAGAUUUAUUAGGUCUGAAAUAGAUAUACCCAGAAUUUGGUUAGUAACUGGAGUGAAGUCGUAACAAGGUAACCGU